GACGAACGCUGGCGGCGUGCCUAAUACAUGCAAGUCGACCUUAGUGGCUGACGGGUGAGUAAGGCAUCGGAAGGUGACUGGUAGUGGGGGAUAACGUCCGGAAACGAGCGCUAAUAACGCAUACUCUCAGAUGAGCACAGGUCGGAUUAGCUAGUUGGUGGGGUAAAGGCCUACCAAGGCGACGAUCCGUAACUGGUCUGAGAGUAUGAUCAGUCACACUGGAACUGAGACACGGUCCAGACUCCUACGGGAGGCAGCAGUGGGGAAUAUUGGACAAUGGGCGAAAGCCUGAUCCAGCCAUGCUGCGUGUGUGAAGAAGGUCUUCGGAUUGUAAAGCACUUUAAGUUGUGAGGCGUUACCAACAGAAUAAGCACCGGCUAACUUCGUGCCAGCAGCCGCGGUAAUAC
This 407-nucleotide ribosomal RNA is filed under the name uncultured bacterium. RNAcentral's name for it is "partial 16S ribosomal RNA". It matches the Rfam family "Bacterial small subunit ribosomal RNA", at positions 28 to 526 of the family's 1533-position model. The record is from RNAcentral.